AUCUGAUGAGUUGUGGGUAGGGGUGAAAGGCCAAUCAAACUCCGUGAUAGCUGGUUCUCCCCGAAAUGCAUUUAGGUGCAGCGUCGCGUGUUUCACUCUGGAGGUAGAGCUACUGGAUGGCCGAUGGGCCCUACAAGGUUACUGACGUCAGCCAAACUCCGAAUGCCAGGGUGUGAGAGCGCGGCAGUGAGACUGCGGGGGAUAAGCUUCGUAGUCGAGAGGGAAACAGCCCAGAUCGCCGGCUAAGGCCCCUAAGCGUGUACUAAGUGGAAAAGGAUGUGGGAUCGCUGAGACAACCAGGAGGUUGGCUUAGAAGCAGCCACCCUUGAAAGAGUGCGUAAUAGCUCACUGGUCAAGUGGUCCUGCGCCGACAAUGUAGCGGGGCUCAAGUACACCGCCGAAGCCGCGGCAUUCGCAUAACACACGCAUUGUCCUGCGGGAUGGUGUGCAGUGGUGUGGAUGGGUAGGGGAGCGUCGUGUGGCCGUGGAAGCAGCAGUGUGAACUAGUUGUGGAGGCCAUGCGAGUGAGAAUGCAGGCAUGAGUAGCGAAAGACGAGUGAGAAACUCGUCCGCCGAAUGACCAAGGGUUCCUGGGCCAGGUUAAUCCGCCCAGGGUGAGUCGGGACCUAAGGCGAGGCCGACAGGCGUAGUCGAUG
RNAcentral lists this ribosomal RNA (656 nucleotides) under Staphylococcus aureus. RNAcentral's name for it is "partial 23S ribosomal RNA". It matches the Rfam family "Bacterial large subunit ribosomal RNA", at positions 799 to 1420 of the family's 2925-position model. Lineage: Bacteria; Bacillati; Bacillota; Bacilli; Caryophanales; Staphylococcaceae. The record is from RNAcentral.